UUCCGGUUGAUCCUGCCGGAGGUCACUGUUAUCAGGGUCCGACUAAGCCAUGCGAGGCGUGAGUCAUCUGGACUCGCCGAACUGCUCAGUAACACGCAGCUAACAUACCCUCAAGUGGAGGAUAAUCCCGAGAAAUUGGGGCUAAUACUCCAUAACUGCUAGAGGCUGGAAUGCACUAGCAGUGAAAGCUCCGGCGCUUGAGGAUUGGGCUGCGGCCUAUCAAGUUGUUGUGAGUAUAAAAUACUCACAAGCUUAUAACGGGUAGGGGCCAUGAGAGUGGAAGCCUCGAGAUGCCUUCUGAGACAUGAAGGCAGGUCCUACGGGACGCAGCAGGCGCGAAAACUUUCCAAUGGCUUAUCGGCUGAGAAGGGGACGCUGAGUGGCUAUACAUUGUAUAGCCUUUUGUCUUGCCUAAAUAGCAAGACGAAUAAGUGGUGGGUAAGACGGGUGGCAGCCGCCGCGGUAAUACCCGCGCCACGAAUGGUGAUCGUGAUUAUUGGGUCUAAAGCGUCCGUAGCCGGUUCAACAAGUUCCUGGUGAAAUCUGCUAGUUAACUAGCAGGCUUGUUGGGAAUACUAUUGGACUUGGGAUCGGGAGAGGAGAGAGGUAUUCCAUAGGUAGGGGUUAAAUCCUUUAAUCUAUGGAGGACCACCGGUGGCGAAGGCGUCUCUCUGGAACGAAUCCGACGGUGAGGGACGAAAGCGUGGGGAGCAAAUCUAAUCCUUUGAUAAAAGGAUGAGAGCUCAAAUGGGAUUAGAUAUGGGAUGAGAGGUUGUACAUAUUAUUGAUUUUUUCAUUGAAAAUGUACAGAAAAGUCCAGUUCAUCUCACUAGAAACCCCAGUAGUCCACGCUGUAAACUUUGUCCGUUUGAUGUUGCAAACUCUACGGGAGCUUGCAGUGUCGGAGUGUAGAUGUUAAACGGACCACCUGGGGAGUACGGCCGCAAGGUUGAAACUUAAGGGAAUUGGCGGGAGAGCACACAAGCGGUGGAGACUGCGGUUUAAUUGGAUUCAACGCCGGG
This 1022-nucleotide ribosomal RNA is filed under the name uncultured archaeon. RNAcentral's name for it is "bacterial SSU rRNA". It matches the Rfam family "Archaeal small subunit ribosomal RNA", at positions 1 to 922 of the family's 1478-position model. The record is from RNAcentral.